RNAcentral lists this long non-coding RNA (1262 nucleotides) under Mus musculus (house mouse). Its description in RNAcentral is "predicted gene 5535". Lineage: Eukaryota; Metazoa; Chordata; Mammalia; Rodentia; Muridae. The record is from RNAcentral.
GCACUCCGUCUCUCCCCAUGAUUAUCUCCAGAUCCUCAGUUCUACUGCAUUCUGUCUCUCCUGAUUAUCUCCAGACCUGCGGUCCUGUUAGUCAGCAGCUGCCUGCAGAUGGGAUUGCCGGGUUACUAAGACAGUAAAGAAAGGGCGAGGCGAGCCUUCUGUCUGUUUAAAAUCCUUGCAGCCCUUUGCUUGCUGUUUUGAAAUGGUCUUGGAUGUGGUGUUUGGGAGGGGACCCAAAUGUCUGGCAGGAACUUUUCAGUCUCUGGAAUUGGAGGGACCACCAGACUUCCAGCUGCAGGGGAUGGUCUGCCCAGUAACAGGCUUUGGACUUCUGCCAGUUCUCCUGUAGGAAGCCCAGACUACCAUGCUUACACCAUCCUGCAGAGAGCCACAUUGUGGGAAGCAGAGACGCACCAUUUCUCACCAGUGAUCCCAGACCAGCUAGUCCACAAGAGCCCAGUAACAGGCCAAAGAUACCCAAGUGAGUCAGCUGGGAGCAAAGGAGUCACCCAGCCAAGCCCGACCUGCAUGGCUGAUUACAAGGUCUGUUUGUGGUCCUGGCUCUCCUGGCUCCCGAGAUACAGAUCAACUGGCCUCGAACUCACGGAGAUCCUACUGCCUCUGCCUUCUAGUGUUGGGAUUAGAGGUAUGUGUCACCAUGCCUAGCCCAUCCUUGUACUUAUUAGGAGUUUAGCUUCUGGCUGGAUUACCCAUCUCAGAGUGAAGUAAAGAUGGCAGCUUGUUCUCUACUGUCAGACAAGGACUUUAGCAAAAUCGGCCCCCCCUAGCUCCAGUCUUCUGGAAGAUUCUUACCACACCCUAAAGAGCCCACAGGAACCCUGACAUGUUUAAAUUGCUGACAAGGUGGGUGUGGAGGAAGCAGCUAUAAUGAAGAAGAAACCUUUCUUCUACAAGAAAGAGAAACCUUAGGCUCUUGCUGAGACAACAGGGAAGGAGCCCAGAGAGCAGGAUCCCAUGGAAGAGUCACACAGGAUGUGGACACUGAUCAGACCUGACCUGGCCUGGUCUUUGACUUUGCCUGUGUCAUCACGCCUGGGGUUGGAACUGCCCCACCCCCACCCAUGAAGACUCCGUCGCCCUUUCCAGGAAAUGUACAGACAAGAGCAGGAAACUGUUGAGUCGCCUAUUUUUCUUUCCCUGCAAAAUGGUUUUAUUAUUUUCGUUGAACAAAAACAUCCUAAUGUAUUGAGGAUGGAGAAGAGAAAGACACCCAGACCUUAAAAUAGACUCAAUACGCCUGU